RNAcentral lists this long non-coding RNA (1083 nucleotides) under Rattus norvegicus (Norway rat). RNAcentral's name for it is "long non-coding RNA NONRATT031941". The record is from RNAcentral. Lineage: Eukaryota; Metazoa; Chordata; Mammalia; Rodentia; Muridae.
CACCAUACACUACAUGCAUCUUGGUUUUGCAGUAUUUCUAUGAGACUUGAAAGCAGGCUGGAGGGGCCCCCAUGGGGAUUCCUCAGUACUAUGUUUAAAUACCUAAGGCAGAGAAGACUUCUAACACCUUCCCCCAGCUCCUACCAGGGUGCUUGAUGGUCCAUUGUCAGCCUUAUUGUUAGUGUUUGGUAACUGUUCUAAAGACAGAGAGAAGCUGGUGGAUAAAGGAGAAAGUCUUCUCGCAGGAUCUAGUAAUUCCUAACAUGAGACAGUAUCUAUGCUGGAAGCUCAAAUUUCUUAUGACCUUCUCCAGGUUUCCUUCUUCUCUUUCAUUCACAAGGCCUUACACGUUGUAUCUUAGGCACUUACAGCAUUGCUUAAUCAAUAGUCUAUCAGGGCUGAGAAGGGUUUGGAGUCUACAGCUCAUCACAAAGCCUCCAAUAAGCCCCCAAACCAAAAUUUGCUCUCUCCCGUGUCUUUUCUGCCCCUUAGAUGUUCCUUUGGGAAGUGCUGACCUGCCGAUAGAAGAGAGUUCAGGCCCAUUCCCGCCAGGUUAUCCCAGAAUACAGCCAAAUUAGAGAAACAACAGCUCCUGCCGUCCGCAUCUGAGGGAGAGGCAGAACUGACAGGUCCACAGCCUCUGGAAACCCAACCUAACGCACUGCUUAUCCACGCUCACACACUCUGGUUGGCAUGCGUCCUGCCUGUUUCUAAUGCUGCCCAGAGGGCAAAGAGUUCCUGCAAGCGAUUUCUUAAGUGAGUCAACUGACUGUGCAUAACUGAGAAGUUGCAGGCAUAUCAACCAAGGCAGCCUCACUUAAAGACCAAGAGCCGUAAUGAGAAUAGACCAGGAUUAGUCUCUGCUCAAUUUCCAAGGACAAAGAGCAAUGGUCUCACAGCCGCCAGUGAGCCCUGCAGAUGCCAAAGGCUUGGCAUGGGCCUAGGUUCAAUUGUUUCUAGGGAGAACAGGAAAUAUUUAUUUAGGAUUAGAGGCAGCUGCUUCAACAGAACAGCUUGAGGUGCUGGAAGAUACAAUUAAGAAAAUUGUAUGAGGGAGGUCUGGAAAGAGACCAGGAGGCGGGG